CCAGUUCGUAACAUCCUCAAGCAGCCUUCGGGCAACGAUCAUUGUGGUUUCUAUGUAAUGCAUUACAUGCAAAAUCCAUAGACCUUUUUGGAGAGACUUCACUGUAGAUGAGGCUAAAUAUAUCCAACAAGCAGCCUUCAGACAAUGAUCAUUGCGGGUUCUAUGUAAUUCAUUACAUGCACUACAGCUACUCCGGUGAUUGCAGAAGCCCCGAAAUGAACACUGAGUUGAGUACAGAUGAAUUGCUCAUGGGCGAGCUAGUAGCACUUCAAGAGCAACUAGCCGGAUGGCUUGUGGACUACGUUGUGGAGCCAGGAUCUGAGUACAGCAUAAUCUAGGUGUAAUGCAUAGAUCGUAUCAUUCUUGUUAAACAUUGUAAUAUAUUUGGGGUAUGAACUAGAUGUUCUUAAUCUUGAUGUAUGGACUCUAUAUUCUUAAUCUUGAUGUAUGAACUCUUUCAUUUAAUUUCAAUGUAUAAUAUCUUAUGGUUGAA
Long non-coding RNA from Panicum virgatum (switchgrass), 493 nucleotides. RefSeq lists it as uncharacterized. The transcript is spliced from 2 exons. Lineage: Eukaryota; Viridiplantae; Streptophyta; Magnoliopsida; Poales; Poaceae. The record is from RefSeq and is a predicted model, not a curated record.